UGGGGAAUAUUGCACAAUGGGGGAAACCCUGAUGCAGCGACGCCGCGUGAGCGAAGAAGGUUUUCGAAUCGUAAAGCUCUGUCCUAUGAGAAGAUAAUGACGGUAUCAUAGGAGGAAGCCCCGGCUAAAUACGUGCCAGCAGCCGCGGUAAUACGUAUGGGGCGAGCGUUGUCCGGAAUUAUUGGGCGUAAAGGGUACGUAGGCGGUCUAUUAAGUCAGGUGUGAAAGCGUGAGGCUUAACCUCAUUAAGCACUUGAAACUGAUAGACUUGAGUGAAGGAGAGGAAAGUGGAAUUCCUAGGGUAGCGGUGAAAUGCGUAGAUAUUAGGAGGAAUACCGGUGGCGAAGGCGACUUUCUGGACUUUUACUGACGCUCAGGUACGAAAGCGUGGGGAGCAAACAGG
This 403-nucleotide ribosomal RNA is filed under the name Verrucomicrobiota bacterium. RNAcentral describes it as "Verrucomicrobia bacterium partial 16S ribosomal RNA". It matches the Rfam family "Bacterial small subunit ribosomal RNA", at positions 355 to 776 of the family's 1533-position model. The record is from RNAcentral. Lineage: Bacteria; Pseudomonadati; Verrucomicrobiota.